RNAcentral lists this ribosomal RNA (468 nucleotides) under uncultured bacterium. Its description in RNAcentral is "partial 16S ribosomal RNA". It matches the Rfam family "Bacterial small subunit ribosomal RNA", at positions 28 to 507 of the family's 1533-position model. The record is from RNAcentral.
GACGAACGCUGGCGGCGUGCUUAACACAUGCAAGUCGAACGGAAAGGCCCUGCUUUUGUGGGGUGCUCGAGUGGCGAACGGGUGAGUAACACGUGAGUAACCUGCCCUUGACUUUGGGAUAACUUCAGGAAACUGGGGCUAAUACCGGAUAGGAGCUCAUGCUGCAUGGUGGGGGUUGGCAAGUUUAGGCGGUUGGGGAUGGACUCGCGGCUUAUCAGCUUGUUGGUGGGGUAGGGGCUUACCAAGGCUUUGACGGGUAGCCGGGCUGAGAGGGUGACCGGCCACAUUGGGACUGAGAUACGGCCCAGACUCCUACGGUAGGCAACAGAGGGGAAUAUUGCACAAUAGGCGGAAGCCUGAUGCAACAACGCCGCGUGCGGGAUGACGGCCUUCGGGUUGUAAACCGCUUUCGCCUGUGACGAAGCGUGAGUGACGGUAAUGGGUAAAGAAGCACCGGCUAACUACGUG